Chelonus insularis is the source of this 901-nucleotide long non-coding RNA. RefSeq lists it as uncharacterized. The record is from RefSeq and is a predicted model, not a curated record. The transcript has 3 exons. NCBI's taxonomy places the organism in Eukaryota, Metazoa, Arthropoda, Insecta, Hymenoptera, Braconidae.
CAUUCUGAGUGAAAAACCUUUAAAAAUGUAAAAUGUCAUUUUCCCAAGUUUAAUUUUCUUUAAAUUGUUUUAAAGAAUUUGUUGUAUGUACUUUUUUAUUAAUUAAUGUAGUAAUUUCAACUGAAAAGUGACCUCUCCCCCACCACACUGAUUUCUCAUUGCAUUCAAUAGUUUCUAGCCCUGACGAAAAAAACCAGUUUUUAGUUGGAAAAUUAUGUAAUUAUGAAGAAUAUAAGAGUAUUUAUUGUAUUUAUUGAUAAAUAUUUCUCCAAAAUAAGAUUUUUUUAAUUAAAACAAAUUACUGAUCAACAAUGAGGACACUGACCUUGAUACGGAAAUUAAAACCCAACAAAUUCGUGAAAAAUAACCUAAAUUUUAUGUGGAUUGACACCUUAUGGUUUAUGAGUAUUCAUUUUAACUACGGAAGACCUGUUCUAGAUUCCUGUGAGGUGAUAGGUCUCCAAGUGUUAACCUGCAUAUUCAUCAAAGUAUUAUGAGCCAUCCAUUGGAAAUAAGUUCAAAAAAUGGUUCCAAUAAUCUAUGAAAUGAUUAUGAUAUGCUCAGCCAUUACUUUGAUUGAUUUACAGACGAGGUUAUCUUUGUUUCUCGCAUAAUAAUGAUGUUUCAAAUAAAAUGUAUAAAUAAAUUUAAAAACACAUCUCUGAGAUUACUUGAAGAGAGUAUACAGCAGCUCUUUGUCCGUAUUCACUCACCAGAUGUUCUCGAAAAUAAAACUUGCAGAAGUCGACUACUGCAUUAUUGCAAUGAAAGGAGAUGGAAAGAAUUAAAUAAGGAGAGAAGACGAUACAGAAAAAAAGGAAAAGAGAAAAAAUAGACGGCUCAAAAGGGUUAAGAAGUAAAAAGGGCUCAUAUGAAAGGUAGUUUAAGUGGAUUGGAAGAA